AUACGGAGGUUGCAAGCGUUAAUCGGAAUUACUGGGCGUAAAGCGCGCGUAGGCGGUUUUGUAAGUCGGAUGUGAAAGCCCAGGGCUCAACCUUGGAAUUGCAUUCGAAACUGCAUGACUAGAGUAUGGUAGAGGGCAGUGGAAUUCCAGGUGUAGCGGUGAAAUGCGUAGAUAUCUGGAGGAACAUCAGUGGCGAAGGCGACUUCCUGGACCAAUACUGACGCUGAGGUGCGAAAGCGUGGGGAGCAAACAGGAUUAGAAACCCUAGUAGUCC
This 274-nucleotide ribosomal RNA is filed under the name uncultured bacterium. RNAcentral's name for it is "partial 16S ribosomal RNA". It matches the Rfam family "Bacterial small subunit ribosomal RNA", at positions 523 to 796 of the family's 1533-position model. The record is from RNAcentral.